This 473-nucleotide ribosomal RNA is filed under the name uncultured archaeon. Its description in RNAcentral is "bacterial SSU rRNA". It matches the Rfam family "Archaeal small subunit ribosomal RNA", at positions 15 to 461 of the family's 1478-position model. The record is from RNAcentral.
UGCCGGACCCGACUGCUAUCGGAUUGGGAUUUAGCCAUGUUAGUUGUGCGUUCCUUGGCUACAGGGGACGCAGCGUACGGCUCAGUAACACGUAGUCAACCUGCCCUGGAGACGCGGACAAACCCGGGAAACUGGGGCCUAUCCGCGAUAGAUGACCUCAUCUGGAAGGAGUGGUCGUCAAAAAGGGCGCACGGGUAUGCUCUGUGCGCACCGCUUCAGGAUGGGACUGCGGCCGAUCAGGCUGUUGGUGAGGUAAAGGCUCACCAAACCAGUAACCGGUACGGGCUUUGAGAGAAGGAGCCCGGAGAUGGACACUGAGACAAGGGUCCAGGUCCUACGGGGCGCAGCAGGCGCGAAACCUUCGCAAUGUGCGAAAGCACGACGAGGUUAUUCCGACGUGAUUUCCGCUGAGGAAAUCUUUUCUCAGAUCUAAAAUGUCUAGGGGAAUAAGGGGAGGUCAAGUCUGGUGUCAC